RNAcentral lists this long non-coding RNA (802 nucleotides) under Setaria viridis. Its description in RNAcentral is "long non-coding RNA (SVIR_LNC005947)". Lineage: Eukaryota; Viridiplantae; Streptophyta; Magnoliopsida; Poales; Poaceae. The record is from RNAcentral.
UAAUCUCUAACACAAACAUUUAAUAGUAAUCUUCGGUAGUGCUAGUAGAAGAAGGCACUCCUCCCUCCACCUACUUCUGUAAAAAGUAAAAGUUUACAAACUUUUGACUGAAAAUAGUCAAAUUAUCCCCUCUGGUCACAAAUGUUUGAUGCUUUGGACACAAUAUCCGAUCAAACUUCUAAACUUUGACAAUCAAAAGCUUCCAAAGCAAAAUCGGGAGCACAAAAAACAUGUGCGGGUAUAUGCAUGUUAGUGUCAAAGAAUAUAUGAGAAUUACUUAUUCAAUGCAGUUUAAUAUAAUAUUGAUUUGACAUGCAAUACAUUCAUCCAGAAAUUGAGUAUCACGAUAUACUCCCUCCGUCCCAAAUUACUAUUCGUUUUGGGCUUUUUUAGAUACGUAGCUUUUGCUAUGCACCUAAAUAUAUAUUAUGUCUAGAUACGUAGCAAAAGCUAUGUAUCUAUAUAAAAGCCAAAAUGAAUAGUAAUUUGGGAUGGAAAUAAAAUGAAUAGUAUCUAUUAAAACCAAUCGGGACUAAAGGUGAUCCUCAAUAAAAAUCUCGUCCGUGGAGACAUCUUUAAUCCCGGUUCCGGUUAUGCGAGAUGGGAAGUGGGAGCCACACUGCGUGCAUUUGCAGUCCCCAAGUGGAAGCUUCAUGAGCGCUGUCUUUGAACUUGGCUUAUGCUUCGCAGGGGCGCGCCCAAGUUGACCUGUGUGAUCAACGACGCGCAUCAGGCGGCGUUCGGACCUCCUCGUACCCACCAGCGCACACCCAGCUAGUAGUACUCCAAAGGGCAAAGGGAC